RNAcentral lists this ribosomal RNA (484 nucleotides) under uncultured bacterium. Its description in RNAcentral is "partial 16S ribosomal RNA". It matches the Rfam family "Bacterial small subunit ribosomal RNA", at positions 30 to 507 of the family's 1533-position model. The record is from RNAcentral.
AUUGAACGCUGGCGGCAGGCCUAACACAUGCAAGUCGAGCGGAUGAAGGGAGCUUGCUCCUGGAUUCAGCUGCGGACUGGUGAGUAAUGCCUAGGAAUCUGCCUGGUAGUGGGGGAUAACGUCCGGAAACGGGCGCUAAUACCGCAUACGUCCUGAGGGAGAAAGUGUGGGAUCUUCGGACCUCACGCUAUCAGAUGAUCCUAGGUCGGAUUAGCUAGUUGGUGGGGUAAAGGCCUACCAAGGCGACGAUCCGUAACUGGUCUGAGAGGAUGAUCAGUCACACUGGAACUGAGACACGGUCCAGACUCCUACGGGAGGCAGCAGUGGGGAAUAUUGGACAAUGGGCGAAAGCCUGAUCCAGCCAUGCCGCGUGUGUGAAGAAGGUCUUCGGAUUGUAAAGCACUUUAAGUUGGGAGGAAGGGCAGUAAGUUAAUACCUUGCUGUUUUGACGUUACCAACAGAAUAAGCACCGGCUAACUUCGUG